RNAcentral lists this ribosomal RNA (564 nucleotides) under uncultured Glomeromycotina. RNAcentral describes it as "SSU rRNA". It matches the Rfam family "Eukaryotic small subunit ribosomal RNA", at positions 548 to 1114 of the family's 1831-position model. Lineage: Eukaryota; Fungi; Glomeromycota. The record is from RNAcentral.
UUGGAGGGCAAGUCUGGUGCCAGCAGCCGCGGUAAUUCCAGCUCCAAUAGCGUAUAUUAAAGUUGUUGCAGUUAAAAAGCUCGUAGUUGAAUUUCGGGAUCAAUAUAUCGGUCGUGCCUUGGUACGUACUGGUAUCAUUGGUUUCUCCUUUCUGACGAACCAUGAUGUCAUUAAUUUGGUGUUAUGGGAAGUUAGGACUGUUACUUUGAAAAAAUUAGAGUGUUUAAAGCAGGCUUUAGCUUGAAUACAUUAGCAUGGAAUAAUGAAAUAGGACGUUCGAACCUAUUUUGUUGGUUUCUAGGAUCAACGUAAUGAUUAAUAGGGAUAGUUGGGGGCAUUAGUAUUCAAUUGUCAGAGGUGAAAUUCUUGGAUUUAUUGAAGACUAACUACUGCGAAAGCAUUUGCCAAGGAUGUUUUCAUUAAUCAAGAACGAAAGUUAGGGGAUCGAAGACGAUCAGAUACCGUCGUAGUCUUAACCAUAAACUAUGCCGACUAGGGAUCGGAUGAUGUUAAUUUUUUAAUGACUCAUUCGGCGCCUUACGGGAAACCAAAGUGUUUGGGUUC